AGAGUUUGAUCCUGGCUCAGGACGAACGCUGGCGGCGUGCCUAAUACAUGCAAGUCGAACGCACUGACGGAGAACUUGUUCUCUUGACGUGAGUGGCGCACGGGUGAGUAACACGUGGGAAACCUACCCUUCAGCGGGGGAUAACCAUCGGAAACGAUGACUAAUACCGCAUAGACGACAGAACCGCCUGGUUCAAUCGGGAAAGACGGCUUCGGCUGUCACUGAAGGAUGGUCCCGCGCUGCAUUAGCUAGUUGGUAAGGUAACGGCUUACCAAGGCGAUGAUGCAUAGCCGACCUGAGAGGGUGAUCGGCCACAUUGGGACUGAGACACGGCCCAAACUCCUACGGGAGGCAGCAGUAGGGAAUCUUCCGCAAUGGACGCAAGUCUGACGGAGCAACGCCGCGUGUGUGAAGAAGGUUUUCGGAUCGUAAAGCACUGUUAUUAGAGAAGAACAGCCGAUAGAGUAACUGUUAUCGGUUUGACGGUAUCUAACCAGAAAGUGACGGCUAACUACGUGCCAGCAGCCGCGGUAAUACGUAGGUCACAAGCGUUGUCCGGAUUUAUUGGGCGUAAAGGGAGCGCAGGCGGUUUGUUAAGUCUGAUGUGAAAGCCCACGGCUCAACCGUGGAACGGCAUUGGAAACUGGCAAACUUGAGUAUAGAAGAGGAAAGUGGAAUUCCAUGUGUAGCGGUGAAAUGCGUAGAUAUAUGGAGGAACACCAGUGGCGAAGGCGACUUUCUGGUCUAUAACUGACGCUGAGGCUCGAAAGCGUGGGGAGCGAACAGGAUUAGAUACCCUGGUAGUCCACGCCGUAACGAUGAGUGUUAAGUGUUGGGGGGCUUCCACCCCUCAGUGCUGGCGUUAACGCAAUAACACUCCGCCUGGGGA
RNAcentral lists this ribosomal RNA (889 nucleotides) under uncultured Facklamia sp. RNAcentral's name for it is "bacterial SSU rRNA". It matches the Rfam family "Bacterial small subunit ribosomal RNA", at positions 8 to 879 of the family's 1533-position model. The record is from RNAcentral. Lineage: Bacteria; Bacillati; Bacillota; Bacilli; Lactobacillales; Aerococcaceae.